Molecule: ribosomal RNA, 253 nt
Filed under: uncultured bacterium
Lineage: Bacteria
Description: partial 16S ribosomal RNA
Rfam family: Bacterial small subunit ribosomal RNA
Source: RNAcentral
UACGUAGGGGGCAAGCGUUGUCCGGAAUCAUUGGGCGUAAAGAGCGCGUAGGCGGCCCAGUCAGUCCGCUGUGAAAGUCAGAGGCUCAACCUCUGGAUGCCGGUGGAUACUGCUGGGCUAGAGUCCGGAAGAGGCGAGUGGAAUUCCUGGUGUAGCAGUGAAAUGCGUAGAUAUCAGGAGGAAUACCGAUGGCGAAGGCAGGUCUCUGGGCUGACACUGACGCUCAUGCACGAAAGCGUGGGGAGCAAACAGG